Molecule: ribosomal RNA, 26 nt
Filed under: Stereophaedusa okimodoki
Lineage: Eukaryota; Metazoa; Mollusca; Gastropoda; Stylommatophora; Clausiliidae
Description: Megalophaedusa okimodoki partial 5.8S rRNA
Source: RNAcentral
AGAAAAAAAACCAGUAAAGAAAUGGG